UGGGGAAUAUUGGACAAUGGGCGAAAGCCUGAUCCAGCAAUACCGCGUGUGUGAAGAAGGCCUGAGGGUUGUAAAGCACUUUCAAUAGGAAGGAAUACCUGCCGGCUAAUACCCGGUAGACUGACAUUACCUAUACAAGAAGCACCGGCUAACUCCGUGCCAGCAGCCGCGGUAAUACGGAGGGUGCAAGCGUUAAUCGGAAUUACUGGGCGUAAAGCGUGCGUAGGCGGUUAUUUAAGUCAGAUGUGAAAGCCCCGGGCUUAACCUGGGAACUGCAUUUGAUACUGGAUGACUAGAGUUGAGUAGAGGAGAGUGGAAUUUCAGGUGUAGCGGUGAAAUGCGUAGAGAUCUGAAGGAACACCAGUGGCGAAGGCGGCUCUCUGGACUCAAACUGACGCUGAGGUACGAAAGCGUGGGUAGCAAACAGGAUUAGAUACCCUGGUAGUCCACGCCGUAAACGAUGUCAACUAACCGUUGGGUUCUUAAAGAACUUAGUGGUGGAGCUAACGUAUUAAGUUGACCGCCUGGGGAGUACGGCCGCAAGGCUA
RNAcentral lists this ribosomal RNA (548 nucleotides) under uncultured Pseudomonadota bacterium. Its description in RNAcentral is "bacterial SSU rRNA". It matches the Rfam family "Bacterial small subunit ribosomal RNA", at positions 355 to 896 of the family's 1533-position model. The record is from RNAcentral. Lineage: Bacteria; Pseudomonadati; Pseudomonadota.